This 400-nucleotide ribosomal RNA is filed under the name Pseudomonas sp. Ar-21. RNAcentral's name for it is "bacterial SSU rRNA". It matches the Rfam family "Bacterial small subunit ribosomal RNA", at positions 109 to 505 of the family's 1533-position model. The record is from RNAcentral. Lineage: Bacteria; Pseudomonadati; Pseudomonadota; Gammaproteobacteria; Pseudomonadales; Pseudomonadaceae.
AGUAAUGCCUAGGAAUCUGCCUGGUACUGGGGGAUAACGUUCGGAAACGGACGCUAAUACCGCAUACGUCCUACGGGAGAAAGCAGGGGACCUUCGGGCCUUGCGCUAUCAGAUGAGCCUAGGUCGGAUUAGCUUGUUGGUGAGGUAAUGGCUCACCAAGGCAACGAUCCGUAACUGGUCUGAGAGGAUGAUCAGUCACACUGGAACUGAGACACGGUCCAGACUCCUACGGGAGGCAGCAGUGGGGAAUAUUGGACAAUGGGGGAAACCCUGAUCCAGCCAUGCCGCGUGUGUGAAGAAGGUCUUAGGAUUGUAAAGCACUUUAAGUUGGGAGGAAGGGUUAUAGCCUAAUACGCUGUAACUUUGACGUUACCGACAGAAUAAGCACCGGCUAACUCUG